CGGUCGACCGGCGCACGGGUGAGUAACGCGUAUCCAACCUGCCCACCACUUGGGGGUAACCUUGCGAAAGUAAGACUAAUACCCAAUGAUAUCUCUAGAAGACAUCUGAAAGAGAUUAAAGAUUUAUCGGUGAUGGAUGGGGAUGCGUCUGAUUAGCUUGUUGGCGGGGUAACGGCCCACCAAGGCAACGAUCAGUAGGGGUUCUGAGAGGAAGGUCCCCCACAUUGGAACUGAGACACGGUCCAA
Molecule: ribosomal RNA, 246 nt
Filed under: uncultured bacterium
Lineage: Bacteria
Description: partial 16S ribosomal RNA
Rfam family: Bacterial small subunit ribosomal RNA
Source: RNAcentral